This 378-nucleotide long non-coding RNA is filed under the name Apteryx rowi (Okarito brown kiwi). Its description in RNAcentral is "lncRNA (ENSARWG00000000432.1)". The record is from RNAcentral. Lineage: Eukaryota; Metazoa; Chordata; Aves; Apterygiformes; Apterygidae.
AGGGCGCUCGCUGCCGCCGCGGCCCGCGGUGGAGGGGCUGCGCCGGGGCUGCCGCCGCUUGCCGGGGAGCGAAGCCGCGGGAAUCGGUGCGCUUGCUGCUGACUUCCUGGCUGUGCUUCAGUGGUGGGCGACUGAAUUUAGUCUUCUCUGCAUGGCAAUGAUAAUAGUAAUGUGACGUUUAAUGAGCACCUGUGAAGUCCUGUAGCAGCCAAAGUUGAAAUGCAGUCUGAAGGCCCUGGCUAAAGUCCAUCCAACCUCCUUGUUGAGCCAUAGAUACUUCACAGCUGGAACAAGUGCUGGUUGCGAAUUCGAACGCAGAAGGAGUUGUGGGAGGAAAUGCUGACCGAGAGGGGUAUGUCUGCAUCGUAAGUCAUCCAR